RNAcentral lists this ribosomal RNA (506 nucleotides) under uncultured bacterium. RNAcentral's name for it is "partial 16S ribosomal RNA". It matches the Rfam family "Bacterial small subunit ribosomal RNA", at positions 28 to 523 of the family's 1533-position model. The record is from RNAcentral.
GAUGAACGCUAGCUACAGGCUUAACACAUGCAAGUCGAGGGGUAACGAGAGGAAAGCUUGCUUUCCUUGUUGACGACCGGCGCACGGGUGAGUAACGCGUAUCCAACCUGCCCCCAACUAGGGAAUAACCUUGCGAAAGUAAGACUAAUACCCUAUACUUUCCUCAGAUGUCAUCUGACGAGGAAUAAAGAUUUAUCGGUUGUGGAUGGGGAUGCGUCUGAUUAGCUUGUUGGCGGGGUAACAGCCCACCAAGGCAACGAUCAGUAGGGGUUCUGAGAGGAAGGUCCCCCACAUUGGAACUGAGACACGGUCCAAACUCCUACGGGAGGCAGCAGUGAGGAAUAUUGGUCAAUGGGCGGAAGCCUGAACCAGCCAAGUAGCGUGCAGGAUGACGGCCCUAUGGGUUGUAAACUGCUUUUAUACAGGAAUAAAGUUAGCCACGUGUGGUUAUUUGUAGGUACUGUAUGAAUAAGGACCGGCUAAUUCCGUGCCAGCCGCCGCUGUAA